GACUUCCCAGAAGCUCCUUUAUGGAGGUUAAACCGUCCCAGUUGCCUUUGGCAAGGGUUUGUAUUGGUAGUUAGGAAUACAUAUUUAAUUCUAAUAUUGUAUUUACUAUGUGUUGUAAAGCUGGACCUGGGAACAAUAUACCAAUAUG
This 148-nucleotide small RNA is filed under the name Ornithinibacillus halophilus. Its description in RNAcentral is "Ornithinibacillus sp. G8B(2010) EGFOA RNA". It matches the Rfam family "EGFOA RNA". The record is from Rfam by way of RNAcentral. Lineage: Bacteria; Bacillati; Bacillota; Bacilli; Caryophanales; Bacillaceae.